CAGCAGCCGCGGGAAUACGAAGGGGGCUAGCGUUGCUCGGAAUGACUGGGCGUAAAGGGCGCGUAGGCGGUUUUGACAGUCAGAUGUGAAAUCCCCGGGCUCAACCUGGGAACUGCAUUUGUGACUGGCAAGCUAGAGUGUGGCAGAGGGGGGUGGAAUUCCGCGUGUAGCAGUGAAAUGCGUAGAUAUGCGGAGGAACACCGAUGGCGAAGGCAGCCCCCUGGGCCAACACUGACGCUCAUGCACGAAAGCGUGGGGAGCAAACAGGAUUAGAUACCCGCGUAGUCCCUGUCUCUUAUAC
Molecule: ribosomal RNA, 301 nt
Filed under: uncultured bacterium
Lineage: Bacteria
Description: partial 16S ribosomal RNA
Rfam family: Bacterial small subunit ribosomal RNA
Source: RNAcentral